RNAcentral lists this ribosomal RNA (417 nucleotides) under uncultured bacterium. RNAcentral's name for it is "bacterial SSU rRNA". It matches the Rfam family "Bacterial small subunit ribosomal RNA", at positions 356 to 773 of the family's 1533-position model. The record is from RNAcentral.
GGGGAAUAUUGCGCAAUGGUCGAAAGACUGACGCAGCGACGCCGCGUGGAGGAUGACGCCCUUCGGGGUGUAAACUCCUGUUGCUCGGGACGAACCUCCCCAUUCGUGGGGACUGACGGUACCGGGUGAGGAAGCACCGGCUAACUCUGUGCCAGCAGCCGCGGUAAUACAGAGGGUGCGAGCGUUGUCCGGAAUCACUGGGCGUAAAGGGCGCGUAGGCGGCUUGGUAAGCGUGCGGUGAAAGCUCGGGGCUCAACCCCGAGUCUGCCGUGCGAACGGCCGAGCUGGAGUACGGUAGAGGCACAUGGAAUUCCGGGUGUAGCGGUGGAAUGCGUAGAGAUCCGGAAGAACACCGGUGGCGAAGGCGGUGUGCUGGGCCGUAGCUGACGCUGAGGCGCGACAGCGUGGGGAGCAAAC